UCUGGUUGAUCCUGCCAGAGGUUACUGCUAUCGAGGUUCGACUAAGCCAUGCGAGUCGAAUGUAGCAAUACAUGGCGUACUGCUCAGUAACACGUGGAUAACCUACCCUUAGGACGGGGAUAAACCCGGGAAACUGGGUAUAAUACCCGAUAGAUCUCGACUGCUGGAAUGCAUCGAGCUUGAAAGCUCCGGCGCCUAAGGAUGGAUCUGCGGCCUAUCAGGUUGUAGUGGGUGUAGCGUACCUACUAGCCUACGACGGGUACGGGUUGUGAGAGCAAGAGCCCGGAGAUGGAUUCUGAGACACGAAUCCAGGCCCUACGGGGUGCAGCAGGCGCGAAAACUUUACAAUGCCGGCAACGGCGAUAAGGGGACCUCGAGUGCCAGGUUACAAAUCUGGCUGUCGUGAUGCCUAAAAAGCAUUGCAUAGCAAGGGCCGGGCAAGACCGGUGCCAGCCGCCGCGGUAACACCGGCGGCUCGAGUGGUAACCGUUAUUAUUGGGUCUAAAGGGUCUGUAGCCGGCCGGAUAAGUCUCUUGGGAAAUCUGGCAGCUUAACUGUCAGGCUUUCAGGAGAUACUGUCUGGCUCGAGGCCGGGAGAGGUGAGAGGUACUUCAGGGGUAGGGGUGAAAUCUUGUAAUCCUUGAAGGACCACCAGUGGCGAAGGCGUCUCACCAGAACGGACCUGACGGCAAGGGACGAAAGCUAGGGGCACGAACCGGAUUAGAUACCCGGGUAGUCCUAGCCGUAAACGAUACUCGCUAGGUGUCGGCCACGGUGCGACCGUUGUCGGUGCCGUAGGGAAGCCGUGAAGCGAGCCACCUGGGAAGUACGGCCGCAAGGCUGAAACUUAAAGGAAUUGGCGGGGGAGCA
This 870-nucleotide ribosomal RNA is filed under the name uncultured Methanosaeta sp. RNAcentral's name for it is "bacterial SSU rRNA". It matches the Rfam family "Archaeal small subunit ribosomal RNA", at positions 1 to 878 of the family's 1478-position model. Lineage: Archaea; Methanobacteriati; Methanobacteriota; Methanomicrobia; Methanotrichales; Methanotrichaceae. The record is from RNAcentral.